Hippocampus zosterae (dwarf seahorse) is the source of this 977-nucleotide long non-coding RNA. RefSeq lists it as uncharacterized. The transcript has 2 exons. The record is from RefSeq and is a predicted model, not a curated record. Lineage: Eukaryota; Metazoa; Chordata; Actinopteri; Syngnathiformes; Syngnathidae.
UACAAUGAACUCUAACCCAACAGCGACCUCUGCUGCUUCUUUCGGAAACUGCAACAGCAACCACCACCCUGGUUUACACAUGCGCAGUAGUCCAGGAAGUAUUUGUUAUUGUUCGUUUCAGACGCAGCAAGAACGUUACAAUAGCUAAAAUGGCUCCAAAAUGGACCUCUGGAUGUCAAGCAGCUCAGAAAAGAAGAGCUCUGACGCUGGAAGAGAGGGUAAAAGUCAUCAAAAUGAAAGACGGAGGAAGAAAAAUUAAAGACAUUAUCCAAGAAAUUGAUGUACCUGCAAGUGAAUGCUGAUCGUAAAUCUCGCAAUUUCUUCCUUUUUCACAAAUGGAUAGAAAAUUCGAAUGUUGCUUUACAACAUAACCAAAAAAAUGUACCAGAUUUUUGGGUGUAUUUUUAUUCGUUUUGUGUCAUGAAUUUAUUAACUGUAUACAGUAUAGUAGUCAUAUUAUUACAGUACUGUUAUGCUACAGGUGCAUUUUAUAUAAAUUUGAAAACAAAUGAGAGAUUACAAAACUACUGGUUACUCUAAAAUGGUUCAAUGAUUUUGUUGUUUACGAUGAUACUAGUGCAGCGUGUUAUACCGGAGACAAAUUCCUUGUGUGUUCUACAUACUUGGCCAAUAAAGAUGAUUCUGAUUCUGAUUCUGAAACUUCCUUUUUUAUAUUUUAGGCUGGCCAGAAAUCGAUCUAUGCCAUUCUGAAGGACAGAGAGAACAUUCUGGAACUCUGGAAUUCAGGAAAAGUGAACAGCAAAAGGAAGAUAUUGACUGCAGCAAGGCAGAAGUAUCCCGAAAUAAACCAGGAGACUUGGGAGUGGUUUGCCAAGAAAAGAGCAUCCGACAAUGUAAUAACAGGCCUUAUGAUACAGGAGCAAGCUAGGAUAAUUGCUCUCAGGUAAAGGCAUCACAGAUUUUGAAGGAUCAAAUGGUUGAUUAAGAACAUUCUCAACUCAACUGUAUUUAUAGAG